This 1104-nucleotide ribosomal RNA is filed under the name Triticum aestivum (bread wheat). Its description in RNAcentral is "partial small subunit ribosomal RNA". The record is from RNAcentral. Lineage: Eukaryota; Viridiplantae; Streptophyta; Magnoliopsida; Poales; Poaceae.
AUGGGUCUCAAGGAGGAGCUCAGAUCAUCAGUGGAGUUGCAAAUUCCAUCAAGUGUCCAAUUGGCAGCUUUAUAUGCUUCUGUUCAGGAGGGUUUACUACUGCAACAGAAAUCCACCAAAUCAAGUUUCAUCAAGACAUCAUAUGCUAAGUCUGACAACAAAUCGAGUCUGGCUACUGGAGAACUGUGGAAAGCCAAACAGCUUAAGGAAUAUCGCAGAGCCAAUGGGCUGUGUUAUAAAUGUGGGGAGAAAUUUUCCCCUGGCCAUAUGUGCAAUCAGGCUCCGGCUCCUAGAGCUCAACUGAAGGCAGCUGAACUAGUGGAUCCCCAUGAAAUAAUUUCAGAUGAUGUACUUGAUGCUUUAGUACAAGGUGAUCAGCAGGAGUGUGCAACCAUUUCAGCUACAGCAUUGUCAGGUGUUGCUCAUCCAAAGACAAUACAGUUGAGAGCUUUAGUGGCUAACAAGGUGGUGUUGAUCUUAGUGGACUCAGGCAGCACCCAUACGUUCGUGGAUCAGGCUUUACUGAGCAAGAUUUCAGUUCCAACUGAGAAACUACAACAUCCAAUGCAGGUCAGAGUUGCUAAUGGGCAUACCAUUCAGUGUACUGAAGUGGCACCUAAAGUAACUUGGUGGAUGCAGGGGCAUAGUUUCACUAAUGCUAUGCAGGUACUUCCUUUAGGAGGUCAUGACAUCAUUCUGGGUAUGGAUUGGCUGGAACAGUGGGGUGUCAUGCAAUGUCACUGGGCUAACAAAUGGAUUCAGUUUCAAUAUGAAGGGCAGACAGUGAGAUUACAAGGUGUACUGCCUGUCAAACAAGAGGAAAUUACAGAGGUGUCUGCUGAUCAACUGCUGAAAUGGGAAAAAGGAAAUGAGGUGUGGGCUACUGCUUUACUGAACAGAAUAGUAAUGGCACCUGAAACUGAAAUUCCAACUGAAGUUCAGCAAGUGUUGGAUAGAAACAAAGAAGUAUUUCAAGAACCUACCGGUUUACCACCUCACAGAGUGUUUGAUCACACUAUCAACUUACUACCAAACACUGUGCCUGUAAACUGCAGACCCUACAGAUACCCCCUCUACAGAAAGAUGAGAUUGAAAGACAAGUGA